Molecule: ribosomal RNA, 1418 nt
Filed under: bacterium
Lineage: Bacteria
Description: bacterial SSU rRNA
Rfam family: Bacterial small subunit ribosomal RNA
Source: RNAcentral
GCUACCAUGCAGUCGAGCGGUAACACAGAGAGCUUGCUCUCGGGUGACGAGCGGCGGACGGGUGAGUAAUGUCUGGGAAACUGCCUGAUGGAGGGGGAUAACUACUGGAAACGGUAGCUAAUACCGCAUAACGUCGCAAGACCAAAGUGGGGGACCUUCGGGCCUCAUGCCAUCAGAUGUGCCCAGAUGGGAUUAGCUAGUAGGUGGGGUAAUGGCUCACCUAGGCGACGAUCCCUAGCUGGUCUGAGAGGAUGACCAGCCACACUGGAACUGAGACACGGUCCAGACUCCUACGGGAGGCAGCAGUGGGGAAUAUUGCACAAUGGGCGCAAGCCUGAUGCAGCCAUGCCGCGUGUAUGAAGAAGGCCUUCGGGUUGUAAAGUACUUUCAGCGAGGAGGAAGGCGUUAAGGUUAAUAACCUUGGCGAUUGACGUUACUCGCAGAAGAAGCACCGGCUAACUCCGUGCCAGCAGCCGCGGUAAUACGGAGGGUGCAAGCGUUAAUCGGAAUUACUGGGCGUAAAGCGCACGCAGGCGGUCUGUCAAGUCGGAUGUGAAAUCCCCGGGCUCAACCUGGGAACUGCAUUCGAAACUGGCAGGCUAGAGUCUUGUAGAGGGGGGUAGAAUUCCAGGUGUAGCGGUGAAAUGCGUAGAGAUCUGGAGGAAUACCGGUGGCGAAGGCGGCCCCCUGGACAAAGACUGACGCUCAGGUGCGAAAGCGUGGGGAGCAAACAGGAUUAGAUACCCUGGUAGUCCACGCCGUAAACGAUGUCGACUUGGAGGUUGUGCCCUUGAGGCGUGGCUUCCGGAGCUAACGCGUUAAGUCGACCGCCUGGGGAGUACGGCCGCAAGGUUAAAACUCAAAUGAAUUGACGGGGGCCCGCACAAGCGGUGGAGCAUGUGGUUUAAUUCGAUGCAACGCGAAGAACCUUACCUACUCUUGACAUCCAGAGAACUUAGCAGAGAUGCUUUGGUGCCUUCGGGAACUCUGAGACAGGUGCUGCAUGGCUGUCGUCAGCUCGUGUUGUGAAAUGUUGGGUUAAGUCCCGCAACGAGCGCAACCCUUAUCCUUUGUUGCCAGCGGUCCGGCCGGGAACUCAAAGGAGACUGCCAGUGAUAAACUGGAGGAAGGUGGGGAUGACGUCAAGUCAUCAUGGCCCUUACGAGUAGGGCUACACACGUGCUACAAUGGCAUAUACAAAGAGAAGCGACCUCGCGAGAGCAAGCGGACCUCAUAAAGUAUGUCGUAGUCCGGAUUGGAGUCUGCAACUCGACUCCAUGAAGUCGGAAUCGCUAGUAAUCGUAGAUCAGAAUGCUACGGUGAAUACGUUCCCGGGCCUUGUACACACCGCCCGUCACACCAUGGGAGUGGGUUGCAAAAGAAGUAGGUAGCUUAACCUUCGGGAGGGCGCUACCACU